CCUGGGGAGUACGGCCGCAAGGUUAAAACUCAAAUGAAUUGACGGGGGCCCGCACAAGCGGUGGAGCAUGUGGUUUAAUUCGAUGCAACGCGAAGAACCUUACCUACUCUUGACAUCCAGAGAACUUAGCAGAGAUGCUUUGGUGCCUUCGGGAACUCUGAGACAGGUGCUGCAUGGCUGUCGUCAGCUCGUGUUGUGAAAUGUUGGGUUAAGUCCCGCAACGAGCGCAACCCUUAUCCUUUGUUGCCAGCGGUUAGGCCGGGAACUCAAAGGAGACUGCCAGUGAUAAACUGGAGGAAGGUGGGGAUGACGUCAAGUCAUCAUGGCCCUUACGAGUAGGGCUACACACGUGCUACAAUGGCGCAUACAAAGAGAAGCGACCUCGCGAGAGCAAGCGGACCUCAUAAAGUGCGUCGUAGUCCGGAUUGGAGUCUGCAACUCGACUCCAUGAAGUCGGAAUCGCUAGUAAUCGUGGAUCAGAAUGCCACGGUGAAUACGUUCCCGGGCCUUGUACACACCGCCCGUCACACCAUGGGAGUGGGUUGCAAAAGAAGUAGGUAGCUUAACCUUCGGGAGGGCGCUUACCACUUUGUGAUUCAUGACUGGGGUGAAGUCGUAACAAGGUAACCGUAGGGGAACCUGCGGUUGGAUCACCUCCUUACCUUAAAGAA
Molecule: ribosomal RNA, 671 nt
Filed under: Enterobacter hormaechei
Lineage: Bacteria; Pseudomonadati; Pseudomonadota; Gammaproteobacteria; Enterobacterales; Enterobacteriaceae
Description: bacterial SSU rRNA
Rfam family: Bacterial small subunit ribosomal RNA
Source: RNAcentral